GCCAAUGGCACUGCCCGGUAGCUAAAUGCGGAAGAGAUAAGUGCUGAAAGCAUCUAAGCACGAAACUUGCCCCGAGAUGAGUUCUCCCUGACUCCUUGAGAGUCCUGAAGGAACGUUGAAGACGACGACGUUGAUAGGCCGGGUGUGUAAGCGCAGCGAUGCGUUGAGCUAACCGGUACUAAUGAACCGUGAGGCUUAACCUUACAACGCCGAAGSUGUU
RNAcentral lists this ribosomal RNA (220 nucleotides) under Escherichia coli. Its description in RNAcentral is "partial 23S ribosomal RNA". It matches the Rfam family "Bacterial large subunit ribosomal RNA", at positions 2728 to 2925 of the family's 2925-position model. Lineage: Bacteria; Pseudomonadati; Pseudomonadota; Gammaproteobacteria; Enterobacterales; Enterobacteriaceae. The record is from RNAcentral.